RNAcentral lists this long non-coding RNA (951 nucleotides) under Meleagris gallopavo (turkey). RNAcentral describes it as "lncRNA (ENSMGAG00000020160.1)". The record is from RNAcentral. Lineage: Eukaryota; Metazoa; Chordata; Aves; Galliformes; Phasianidae.
CUCAAACUAAACAAUGUUUCUUAGGAAAAGCUGAAAACAUUAAGUCAUUACUUGGGAAUUUCUUUCGCUCAAACCAACAUUAUUUGUGAUUUCAGACCUGUUCAAAUUCCACUGAAUCAUCCUUGAAGCAAUGCUAAAUGCAGUAACUGAGGGAAAUCCCAUUCUUAAUGGUGAAGAACCAAAAAUCUUAAGAGACCAGGAACAAUCACCACCUCCUGCAGCCCCGAGCCAAGGUUGAAAAGAAGAAAUGUGCCAAUUAGCUAAAAGCCUCAGGUAUGAUGCAGGAGCUAAGAUGGGAUCCAGCAAUGUAUCCGUGUUACUGAAGAUGCCAUCACCUCAAGGGCUGGCCCGGCUGUAGCUGUGUCAGCCUUGGGGCAGAGGACCAAACAGCUUCAGUCUGCAGCCAGCGGUCCUAGCAUGUGAUCCACAACUAACCCGAGUGCUAACAGCCACCAGGGCAGCCCCAGGCAACCCGUACCUCAGAUGAAUACGGAGUUCAUCGUCCCUUUCCUCUCCCUUCUUAUCUUGAAAAGAGCCAUGCAAUUACUUGCAAGUCUUUUCAGGAUUUGCUGCAGCACCUUCUGACAACAUUUCCAAGAAGAGUUACUCACAAAGGAAAAUAGAGACGAUAACAAGCAUCUUCAACAUCGCUUCAUGGACUCUUAAACACUUCAACACUUCUAACUUCAGCUUCAUAUUUGGAGAAUGUCUGCAUACAUUCCAGCAAGUCUAUUUUUAUUGUCAAACUAUAAACUAUGAAUUAAUUUGUCAAUCAGAUUUGGGGUGAUAUGCAGUGCAGUGAUGGAAACGAAGUCUAUGAAACAGAAUUAGGUUUUUGAUGUGGUACUUUUCCUACCCCUGGGAUAAAAGGCUACCUUUGUUCAGUUUAGCAGUGACUAAGAGUCCCCUGAUCACUGCCAGCACAAGAUUAAAAGGAAGGAAAUAUUGUGC